RNAcentral lists this long non-coding RNA (1504 nucleotides) under Sus scrofa (pig). RNAcentral describes it as "lncRNA (ENSSSCG00050073090.1)". Lineage: Eukaryota; Metazoa; Chordata; Mammalia; Artiodactyla; Suidae. The record is from RNAcentral.
CUCAUAGCGCCGUCUGAAGGAUUCUUCAUCCUGGGCGACUUGGAAUCACCAUGCCUCCUGGGUUUGCUCUUCUUGCUACAAAAGGCUCCCCAGGCCUUCGCCCCAGCUCUGGAGACGCUCCUCAGCCUGGUUCAUUUGGAGCGAGCCCGGCCCCUCUGUGUUGGGAAACAGGGGUCCUUCCAGCCUCCGGCCCUGGGCAAAGGGAGGAGGAGGCCUCAGGAUGCAGAGGCAGGAGGGCGUGGAUUAGAAACCCAUCACAGAAAUGACUUUCUUAUCACGCCACGACCUGAAUUGACAGAACCAACUCUCGAAAUUGAAUUGUCUCCCCCCUCGGCUGCCUCAGCUCCUAGUUCCUUCCCCACUGCCACCUCCACCUCUGAAAGCCCCGCUGGGAGAGACCAAGAGACAGAGAUGCAGGAGAGAAGCAAAGAUGACUCAACUGAGGCACAGAGGCGUUCAGGAACCUACUCAGCAUCUGGACAGUACCCACGAUGAACAUUCCAGGCCUCUGCAGGUCCAGAGUGGAAGGUGCAGAAGUGAGAGGGCCGAGCUCCACCGGUUCGUGAUCCCUAGUGACCCUGGAACGAGGUUCUUUACCUGAGUUACCUCAUCUCUUCUUCUGGACAGCCCAUAAGCCAGCGCAGCUCCCGUGCCCACUUUGCAGACUGAGAAACCCAGUCUCUUGUGCAGCCCUUCAUGCAGAGUCUUAAUGAGGACCUGGUUGAGCUGGGAUUCAAACCCAAGUUAGUCUGGAGUUCCCGCUGUGGCGUAGCGGGUUAAGAAUCUGAUGGCAGUGGCUCGGGUCACGGUGGGGGCGCGGGUUCAUUUCCCGACCCCUUAACAGUGGGUUAAAGGGAUCCAGCAUCGCUGCAGCUGCGGCUUGGAUUCAGUCGCUGGCCCAAGAACCUCCAUGUGCCAAGGAUGCGGCCAUAAAAAACCAAAACGGAACAAACCCCCCAAGUCUGUCUGAAUCCAGAAUCCGAGCUCUUAACAGCGAGCUCCUCCUUGCAGGGGCAGAAGUCAGGAAGUCCCUGCCACAGAGGCCCUGGAAGCAGGGCCUAGAGUGCGACGCCAGUGGACAAAGCCUGGGCUGGGGACCAGGUGACCUGGGUACAUCUCUCCUGGGCCCCACACUCACUAAUACUUCCCUGAGUUCACGGGCAAAAUGGAGAUGAUAAUAAUAGGGCCUUCUCUCUGGGGCGAUUAUCUUACAGGAACGAGUUUUCAGAAGCACGUAUCACAGUGCCUGACACAUAGUAGGUGCCCCGUCAAAGCUCGCCAUCAUUUCUGUGGAUGAGUUCACAGCAGCCUCUUAAGAGCGUGGGAGCAGCGUGCGUGAGGCGCUUUGCCGUGUGCCCCAGUCUCGGAGACUCCCCGAACUGAAAGCGUCGAGGGCAAGGCCCUCAUGUUUCAGGUGGGGAACCUGGGGCCCAGGCUUGCAGCAAGCGAGUGGCAGGGCCAGGCCUCGGCCUUGGGGGCUCCCUGCAGCCUCCCUGCUCCAGCC